Cydia pomonella (codling moth) is the source of this 3390-nucleotide long non-coding RNA. RefSeq lists it as uncharacterized. The record is from RefSeq and is a predicted model, not a curated record. The transcript is spliced from 5 exons. NCBI's taxonomy places the organism in Eukaryota, Metazoa, Arthropoda, Insecta, Lepidoptera, Tortricidae.
ACCUUCGGCCCUAUUCGAAAAAUGCAAUACGGAAAAGAUAUGAGAUCGUUAAGUUCUGGUUUAGAUAUAGAUAAGUUCUCAAUUAGAUAUCGUUUGUAUGUGGUAUAAUUGACAGAAGCUGCACGAUUCGGAUGACCAAUGUCACUUUGACGUUAGAAUAUCUUUGAAAGAUCUUAGUCAGUGUUGCCAGAUGGGUUUUGCGUUCCGUUACGUGCACCUCUUAAAAAUAGUACGCAAAUUCAAGUUGAGUACGCAGUAUAAAAUUUACGGUGCGUUCCUAAAUAAUAUUAAUCGGAAAACCACCGAAUUUUAUCGCUACUAUAAAAAUGUUGAAAAUAGAACUUCACAUAUUUCGAUAAAAUAUUUCUUGUUUAAGGAGACUCAAUUCAAUGCAAAUUUGCCAACGGUGGCGUUUCGAAAUGUAAUACCGUCGCGGCGUCUGUCAUACUUCGGUCUACUUAAACACGCUGCACGCUGCUGCGACGCGUCAGGGCCUACCGCGAACCACGUUCGACGUGUUGCCUCUCUGUCGCACUUAUAAAUUCGUACGUAAGUAUGACAGGGAGGCAACACGUCGAACGUGGUUCACGGUAGGCCCUCUGUUCUGUGAUUGUUAGGCAAACACAAACAUUUUUUUUUACAACGGACGCCCACGAGUAUUCCUCUGCGUUGAAGUCAUUGUUGAAGUUUGAAAACUCAUAAAGUUUUGUUUUGUGAGUGAAACCGUGAAUAAUACUAAAUAAAAAUGUGUGACAGUGAUCACAGUGAUGAAAAUAUGUUGCCCACUACUCCUCAGGAAAUAUUAAAGCCUUUUCCGUUUAUGUUGUUCCGUUGUUUGCUAUUUUGACAACUUGAAAAGUUUUAUCGGCAGUUUGCGUGUUAUUACUGUGAAGUGUUUGGCCAAACCGCCGCUACCACUUUUGAAAGGAUGCCACCCAAAAAUCCAAAAAUUCGCUCGAACGCAGCACAAAUUAGAUUGCUCGUUGAAUACAUGUCACAGCACACCCGGUUCGCCAACCGGGAAUUUGACGGGCCUCUAAGGACCCCAGAGGUACGAGGCGCAAUGGGAGGCCCUUGCACAGGCCUUAAGGGAGCACGGGCCCAAUAAGUCAGUGCAGGCAUGGAAAGUGUAUCGGCAUAUAAUAACAAGUCAGAAAAUUUGAAACGAGUGGCGAUAAAUUAAAACACGACUGAAGGGAGUGUUUUAAAUUGACACGAGUUGCGAAUUACCUAUUCGCACAUGUAUCGUACAACGUUUUACAGUACAUAAGGUACCCUUUAAAUGUUUGACACAGUAACGUAAUAUGGUAAUUUUCGCACUAGUGCGGUAAAGUAGUACCAUAUGUACAGUCAGCGUCAAAUACUUCGUAGUACACCAUACUAAAUAUAUGGUGUACCGAACUAUUUGGCUACUUUGGUUGCUACAAAGUAUUUGACGCUGACUGUACUGUAAAAGCUGUUUUAAUACUAUUAAUAAGUAUAGUUAGUGUAUUAAUUUUGCCAUAAUCGCAUGCAGUUAUGACUAUGGGUAUAAAUAUUGUUGAAUUUAUAUAGCCGAGUCCACACAGAGCGACCGAGGAGGCGCGUGCGUUUUCCUUGCCCGAGCGCACGUCUACACUGGCCAGUUUGUGCGUGAGAAUAUUGCCUCACGCGUAUGCUCGCUCUGUGUGGACCCGGCUAAUCAUGUAUAAAUGACAACAGAUUUUAUUCUCUAGGUGGGCACCUGCUCCCCGCUGGCGACACCCUUGCAGAAGCUAGCAUUUUCAGAUAUAUUUACUUUUUAAGUUUUUGGUUUGGUUUAACCGGAAUUAUUUUUACCCGACUAUGAGAAUGGGAAGGGUUAGGAUUUUAGCAGUCUACGUAUGGAUGCCGUAUAUAUGCCGGAUAUCCUGAACGAACUGAAAAUUUUUAAUGAGGCGCAGAAACAAAAAUGGAGUGUUUUGAAGGAGGGGCACGACUUGUUGGCGAAUCGGUUCAUCCUCUGACCUUUCCAAGGAGCAAGAUCUUAUUUUCGUGUAUGAGAGCCUUUGGAAUACAAUAUUAUUAACGCCCGAAUGAGUGCUACCGCGUUUAAUUUCGCCACUAGGGGUGCUAGUGUAGACGGAGGUCUUUCGAAAUGUCAAAUGCAUAGCUUUUUUAUCGUGAAUUUCUACUCCUCAUUCAUAAUUGUGGUAAAUCUUAUUUCAUCUUUGAUUAGUUAGUCACCAAACAAAAGUAACUCAAAUAGCCGGGUCCACACAGAGCGAGCAUACGCGCCAGGCAACUUCCUCACGCACAAAACGGCCAGUGUAGACGUGCCUCGGACGAGGCGGAGCGCGCGUUUUCCUCGCCCUAGUGCGCCGCCUCGGCCGAGGCACGUCUACACUGGCUGGGAUUACCAUCGAAUCGUCUAAUGUCGGUUUUGUUCCUUUGGGUUUGUUGUACCUAGUGACAUGUUUUUUAAACGAUUGCAACGCCAUCUGCGAGUUGCUCGAGAGACUCAACUUACACACAUAUAUGGAUGUGGCUUCAAAAGUAAUCACCGUUAAUAUCUCGUACCUUGAAUAAAGGACCCACUUCUUAAUUAUUAUUAUAAAUUAUAUUUUGGUAUUGUUCCAGUAUUAACACAUUGGAGGACACCGAGAUUAUUGAGAACUUGGAAGACACAGUUAUAAUGGAAGAGGAAGACGUCUGAGCUAAGCGCUGUCCUCGCACCCUCCGUCUAGUUUACGUUUGCGGCCAUAUCAAAAAUACACACCGUAUGUUUAUUAGGGUUCCGUACCAAAAAGGUCCAAAAGGAACCCUUAUGGUGCUAUUGCUAAAUAUCUCGAGAAGUACUUAAGCUAUCGAUGUGAAAUUUGGAAUAGUAAUGAAUAACGCUGACCCAAACAUAUUGGAUGUGUAUUUAUUUUAUUUUAUUUGUAAGUAUUAAUAAUGGAAAAUUCCCAAUAUGAAGAGGGGGUAAAAUUGCAAAGUCUAGUUAAAUAGGUCAAGUGGGGUAUCAUUUGAAAGAGCUCAAAUUGAAAAUAACAAAACAAUUUUUUGUUUUCAUUGUGAAAAAAAAAUUUACGUAUGAAGGAAAAUGUGAAAAUAAUACCAUCCCCCCCCCCUCUCUCAUCUCCGAAGUUUAAGAAUAAAAAUUGUUUUUUUUACAUUGGUCAAGUCUUUCAUGAGAAAAUUUGAAGUUUGUACGGAACCCUCGGUGUGCGAGGUAAACGAACUCGCACUUGACCGGUUAUUCUUAUUGCCCAUAAGGCCCGUCCUUAGAUAUAUGUCAAUGAUUACGGUGAUCUCGAAAAUGGCUCAAAUGAUUUCAAUUAAAUUUGCUAUAUGGGGGUUUUCGGGGCGUUUUUGAGUUUUUACCUAUUUGUUUUCCGAGCAAAAGGAAUUAAAGUUUACUGAUUUUGAAAA